RNAcentral lists this ribosomal RNA (603 nucleotides) under Campylobacter jejuni. RNAcentral's name for it is "partial 23S ribosomal RNA". It matches the Rfam family "Bacterial large subunit ribosomal RNA", at positions 1 to 619 of the family's 2925-position model. The record is from RNAcentral. Lineage: Bacteria; Pseudomonadati; Campylobacterota; Epsilonproteobacteria; Campylobacterales; Campylobacteraceae.
AGGUAAGCUACUAAGAGCGAAUGGUGGAUGCCUUGACUGGUAAAGGCGAUGAAGGACGUACUAGACUGCGAUAAGCUACGGGGAGCUGUCAAGAAGCUUUGAUCCGUAGAUUUCCGAAUGGGGCAACCCAAUGUAUAGAGAUAUACAUUACCUAUAUAGGAGCGAACGAGGGGAAUUGAAACAUCUUAGUACCCUCAGGAAAAGAAAUCAAUAGAGAUUGCGUCAGUAGCGGCGAGCGAAAGCGCAAGAGGGCAAACCCAGUGCUUGCACUGGGGGUUGUAGGACUGCAAUGUGCAAGAGCUGAGUUUAGCAGAACAUUCUGGAAAGUAUAGCCAUAGAGGGUGAUAGUCCCGUAUGCGAAAAACAAAGCUUAGCUAGCAGUAUCCUGAGUAGGGCGGGACACGAGGAAUCCUGUCUGAAUCCGGGUCGACCACGAUCCAACCCUAAAUACUAAUACCAGAUCGAUAGUGCACAAGUACCGUGAGGGAAAGGUGAAAAGAACUGAGGUGAUCAGAGUGAAAUAGAACCUGAAACCAUUUGCUUACAAUCAUUCAGAGCACUAUGUAGCAAUACAGUGUGAUGGACUGCCUUUUGCAUAAUGAG